RNAcentral lists this ribosomal RNA (349 nucleotides) under uncultured bacterium. Its description in RNAcentral is "bacterial SSU rRNA". It matches the Rfam family "Bacterial small subunit ribosomal RNA", at positions 9 to 360 of the family's 1533-position model. The record is from RNAcentral.
GAGUUUGAUCUUGGCUCAGAUUGAACGCUGGCGGCAGGCCUAACACAUGCAAGUCGAGCGGUAGAGAGAAGCUUGCUUCUCUUGAGAGCGGCGGACGGGUGAGUAAUGCCUAGGAAUCUGCCUGGUAGUGGGGGAUAACGCUCGGAAACGGACGCUAAUACCGCAUACGUCCUACGGGAGAAAGCAGGGGACCUUGGGCCUUGCGCUAUCAGAUGAGCCUAGGUCGGAUUAGCUAGUUGGUGAGGUAAUGGCUCACCAAGGCGACGAUCCGUAACUAGGUCUGAGAGGAUGAUCAGUCACACUGGAACUGAGACACGGUCCAGACUCCUACGGGAGGCAGCAGUGGGAA